Molecule: ribosomal RNA, 319 nt
Filed under: uncultured Actinomycetes bacterium
Lineage: Bacteria; Bacillati; Actinomycetota; Actinomycetes
Description: bacterial SSU rRNA
Rfam family: Bacterial small subunit ribosomal RNA
Source: RNAcentral
GAUGAACGCUGGCGGCGUGCUUAACACAUGCAAGUCGAGCGGUAAGGCCCUUCGGGGUACACGAGCGGCGAACGGGUGAGUAACACGUGAGCAAUCUGCCCUUCACUUUGGGAUAACCCCCGGAAACGGGAGCUAAUACCGAAUAUGACCCUGCCAUGCAUGUGGUGGGGUGGAAAGUUCUGGCGGUGGAGGAUGAGCUCGCGGCCUAUCAGCUUGUUGGUGGGGUAAUGGCCUACCAAGGCUUCGACGGGUAGCCGGCCUGAGAGGGUGACCGGCCACACUGGGACUGAGACACGGCCCAGACACCUACGGGUGGCAG